CCUACGGGAGGCAGCAGUGGGGAAUAUUGCUCAAUGGGCGAAACCCUGAUGCAGCGACGCCGCGUGAGUGAAGAAGUACCUCCGUAUGGAAAGCUCUAUCAGCAGGGAAGCAAAUGACGGUACGUGAUCAAGAAGCCCCGGCUAACUACGUACCAGCAGCCGCGGGAAUACGUAGGGGGCAAGCGUUAUCCGGAUUUACUGGGGGUAAAGGGAGCGUAAACGGGUGCAAAAGGCUGGAGUGAAAGGGUGGGGGUUAACCACGGACCUGCGGUUGAAACUGUGCAGCUUGAGUGCAGGAGAGGUAGGUGGAAUUCGUGGUGUAGCGGUGAAAUGCGUAGAUAUUACGAGGAACCCCAGUGGCGAAGGCGGCUUACUGGACUGUAACUGACGUUGAGGCUCGAAAGCGUGGGGAGCAAACAGGAUUAGAUACCCCGGUAGUC
RNAcentral lists this ribosomal RNA (440 nucleotides) under uncultured bacterium. Its description in RNAcentral is "partial 16S ribosomal RNA". It matches the Rfam family "Bacterial small subunit ribosomal RNA", at positions 338 to 795 of the family's 1533-position model. The record is from RNAcentral.